This 403-nucleotide ribosomal RNA is filed under the name uncultured bacterium. RNAcentral's name for it is "partial 16S ribosomal RNA". It matches the Rfam family "Bacterial small subunit ribosomal RNA", at positions 28 to 526 of the family's 1533-position model. The record is from RNAcentral.
GACGAACGCUGGCGGCGUGCCUAAUACAUGCAAGUCGAACGCAGUGGGGACGGGUGAGUAACAUGUGGGUAACCUCGCAUAUGAGGGGAUAACCCUUGGAAACUGGUGCUAAUCCGAUACUGAUGGAGGAACCCGCGGUGCAUUAGCUAGUUGGUGAGGUAACGGCUCACCAAGGCCACGAUGCAUAGCCGACCUGAGAGGGUGAUCGGCCAAACUGGGACGGAGACACGGCCCAGACGCCUACGUGAGGCAGCAGUAGGGAAUCUUCGACAAUGGACGAAAGUCUGACCGAGCAACGCCGCGUGAGUGAAGAAGGUUUUCGGAUCGUAAAACUCUGUUGUUAGAGAAGCGGUAUCUAACCAGAAAGCAACGGCUAACUACGUGCCAGCAGCCGCGGUAAUAC